CCCAAUUCAUGAAUGCAUUAAUUGUCUUCCAAAGAAGAAUCUGAGGUGACAAGUUUCCUUCAUUGGAUUCCAAGAGCUCGAUGGAUCAUUCGAAGUCCCACCGGGGACAGCAGUCGGUGGGUGGCCUCACUUCCACUUGCUAGUAGUUUAAGCUGUGGUGGGCUCAUCCCUCCCCUCCCCUCUCCUCUCCUCUCUCUUCUUCCUGUUCUGUCUUUUCAUAGCUUUGGACCAUACUAUUUGUAAUUACGGAUCAUAAAUACAAUGAGGGAUUCUUCAUGCAAUCAAAC
Molecule: long non-coding RNA, 287 nt
Filed under: Musa acuminata (dwarf banana)
Lineage: Eukaryota; Viridiplantae; Streptophyta; Magnoliopsida; Zingiberales; Musaceae
Description: long non-coding RNA (MACU_LNC011892)
Source: RNAcentral